CUCCACAUCACUGAGGAGGAUCCUUCAGAACGAGGAGUCAGGUAGAGAGGUGUGUGUCUCUGGAGAUGAGGCCUUUAUCAAACUGCAUCUGGAUGUCAUCCAGUGCAUCAAUGCUGUUCUCCAGAAAGCAAAGAUGAUGAGCCAAACUCUGAUGCGCAAAGUCCAAAUAGUCUGUUGGCAAGAGCUACAGGACUUUGUGGAAAGGUAUGUCAAUGUUGAAAAGAAGCACCUUCAGAAACAAGCAGGAAUGGGAACGUCAGGUACAAUGCACUUCUUUAAGACGUUCAACACCUGCAUUGAACUCAAGUUGUAUAUUUCAAGGAUUGCCAAAGAUGACACAAGCUUAGACUGUGUUAAAACCAUAUCAACACUUAAGGGGUUGGAAGCUCUUUCUUGGAAAAACCAAUUCAACUUGCACAGGUUAACCCCCCCUAUAGAAAUACUAUAGCAAGACAAGCCUAUCUGUUCAAAAUCCAC
Long non-coding RNA from Oncorhynchus tshawytscha (Chinook salmon), 477 nucleotides. RefSeq lists it as uncharacterized. The transcript has 4 exons. NCBI's taxonomy places the organism in Eukaryota, Metazoa, Chordata, Actinopteri, Salmoniformes, Salmonidae. The record is from RefSeq and is a predicted model, not a curated record.